AGCGGGGGACGACCAGAGGACUCAUAGGUGGCGUUGAUAGCCUCGACUAUCCAACGACUAAUAGACUGCUUAGAAGCAGGAGAACCCCUCUUGGGGGGGACCAUAGCAUACAAGCAAUUGGUCUGUUUUUCUCCACAGGGCAGCUCUGUGGACGUAUGCGUCCAGUGCUCGAACUGGACACAUACAGUUUAGCUUCUCUUGGUCGGGCUCCCGAAAGGGAGGAGGACAGAAAGCCUGCAGCACUACAGGUUGUGGUGUGACAGAGGGGACCUUAGGAACAUAUCCCGCUCGAGGGUAUAUGAACGCUUUGGUCAUGCCAGGUGCAAAGUCCAGAUAUGUAGGGGCCACUGAGAGGGCCUGCAAAUCUCCUACUCUCCUCAGAGAGGUAAUGGCCAACAGAAAGGCGGUUUUGAGUGUCAGAUGUCUGUCUGAAAUAUCUUGAAUAGGCUCAAAUGGAGGUUCUCUGCAGGGUUGACCCACUCCACGUUGAAGGUCUACGUGGCGGCCAUUGCGGCCUACCACGCCCUUCUCGAUGGUCAGUCUUUGGGAAGACACCCAUUAGUUACACGUUUCCUCCGCGGUGCGCUGAGGCUGAGACCUCCAGUACGGUCCCGUAUUCCCCGUGGGACUUGGUUGUGGUGCUAGAGGCCUUGUGCAGACCUCCAUUUGAGCCUAUUCAAGAUAUUUCAGACAGACAUCUGACACUCAAAACCGCCUUUCUGUUGGCCAUUACCUCUCUGAGGAGAGUAGGAGAUUUGCAGGCCCUCUCAGUGGCCCCUACAUAUCUGGACUUUGCACCUGGCAUGACCAAAGCGUUCAUAUACCCUCGAGCGGGAUAUGUUCCUAAGGUCCCCUCUGUCACACCACAACCUGUAGUGCUGCAGUCUUUCUGUCCUCCUCCCUUUCGGGAGCCCGACCAAGAGAAGCUAAACUGUAUGUGUCCAGUUCGAGCACUGGACGCAUACGUCCACAGAGCUGCCCUGUGGAGAAAAACAGACCAAUUGCUUGUAUGCUAUGGUCCCCCAAGAGGGGUUCUCCUGCUUCUAAGCAGUCUAUUAGUCGUUGGAUAGUCGAGGCUAUCAAACGCCACCUAUGAGUCCUCUGGUCGUACCCCGCUGUUGGGAGCCAAGGAUCACUCCACACGGGGUAUGGCGGCCUCCAAGGCCUUUUUUGGCAGGUGUAUCCAUGCUGGACAUCUGCAACGCUGCGGGGUGGUCCACGCCCUCUACAUUUGCAAAAUUUUACGGCCUAGACAUGCCGGUCACUCCAGGCGCAUCCGUCCUCUCGUCCUAAGCUGUGCUCUUCGGAUACACACUAGGCAGGGGUUUGGGAGUCUGGCAGCGUUGGUACUCGUUCCCCAAAGCGCUCGACGCAGCUCGAGUUCCUGAAGAGGAACGUCUCUAGGUUACGUAUGUAACCCUAGUUCCUCGAGGGAACGAGACGCUGCGUCUCGGAGCCAUACCCCCCGGCACCCCUGCCGGCGCUUGCUGGUACUCGAAGCUGAUGCCAGCUGCGCGGCAUGUGCUUUUAUAGCUUCCUGGUCGCUUACGUCACCCCGCCCGUGACGUCACGCUCUUCCAUUGGACUGAUUUCACACGAUAUUCAGAGUCGCUCACGCUAGACGCGUUCCCCAAAGCGCUCGACGCAGCGUCUCGUUCCCUCGAGGAACUAGGGUUACAUACGUAACCUAGAGACGUUUUGUUUUAAGUUAUGAGUGGGCUAUAUAGUGAUUGCUAAAGUAAUAAUAUAGUUGCUCCUGAUAUCUGUCACAAUUCAUGGGGUGGAAGGAACAAGGAGAUGCUGGAGAACAUUCAAAACUUGACUUUAAUUCACAAAAACAAAGGCAUUCAAAACACAUGAACUUUAGGGAUAACAUUUACAAUACCAGACACUGAACUGAGAACAGGGAACGCUUUUAUGCAGUCAACUUAACAAAAUGGGACAGGAACAGGCAGGACCAAAUAUGGGCAUGGAAACACAUGGGGAGCAAAACACACACAAAACAUGGAACAGAUACUUUUUUCUUUUUUUUUUUUUUUGGUGACCAGAUACCUUGAAGACUUCACGUCAAACUGUUUUCUUCUAAGAGAGCUGUACCAGCAUCAGAAGCUGUUCAGAUACAUUGGGCACAUCAUUUGUUGGUGGAAAUACUAAUGUACCUGAUGUCUUUAUGAAAACUGCCUUACUGAUAUUAAAUGGCUUAUGACUCAAUCUUUGACUAAUUUGAUUAUUGAUAGCUACAUAUUAUAUGGUAGAAAUGUUUGAGUUCAUAUUGAGACAUUUGACUUGGUGCACACUUUGUAAAGCUGUUGAGAUCACUUCUGAAAUUUAGAGGAGACAAAUGCGAGGUAAAAAUCUGAGUGUGUGAUUUUGUUGAGAUCUUGUUUGAAGCAUUGUAAGAGACAAAUAUGAGACCACGUCUUUAGUUUAGGAGAAAAUUUUGAGCACAGUUUGUGAUGAUGAGAUCUUUUCCUCUUCUUUCCUUUAAGGAGAACAUUGUGAGAAGCAGGAGAAUCAAGCAAAAGUCUCCAUUUGAUCUUAAAGUAACCAUUUGAUCUUAAAGUAACCUAAUUUCUGUCUAGGAGAAAUGUUUAAGUUGUUGAAGAGAUCUCACUUUUAUUUUUUCUUUCUUCUGGGUUCAUUCAACAAAAGUUAAUAAUUAAAGUCAAUGAUCAAUCUAUGUUGGUCUCAUUUCUACUUCUCAUUUUUUCCAUAAACAUUGUCCUCAUUUAGAGAAAAUGUAUUGGGUUUCCCCAGAAUCUUUUUUUUUUUUUUUUGGUUCCUGUGAGAGAAACAAGAUGGGCAUACAUAAUUCUCAUCCUCUUGUGAUGUCUAUUGUCUCUCAGUCUAAUUUAAUUCCCCAUUAAAAUUAGUGAUGGUGGGCAGUGAAAGAAUCACCUUAGUUUCAGCCGCUCUCUAACUCUUCACACUGUUCACCAGCAGACUCAUUAAAUCAGUCUGACUCCUGGCCUGGUUUGACCAACCCCUUCCAAGACACUAAUGACUUUAGUGAACACUCUGCCUGCGUGAUAUAAGACUCUGAUAAGUAAUGAUGUUCCACAGAAUUCAAGUCGAGUGACAGAUUAUUUUCCACCAAAGCAGAACUAUGAACAUUGCAGGAAAUAUACCUGUAACCGAAAAAUUAUGCUUAGCUACUUAAAAAUCAGGGUUUGUAUGUAUGUAAAAGAUAUACAUCUUUUAUAAGUGUUGGUAUGCCUUCCCAUACCCUGAUUAAUGUAAUUGCUAAUCCUAAUCUAAUUUAGUUAAGUAAUAAAAGUCCAUGAUGGAUAGAAUUCUACCUGUAUUCAGCCCUCAAUUAACAUUCCUCCUCUGUGGCAUUUAGACUUUGGCUUUUGAUGGGUCGGGCUGGAUUGAGUUCAACAGAUUUCAUAACAGAGAUUGGUGUGACUGUCAGAAUUAACACCUUAUUAUCAGCCCUGACAAGCAGAGAUGAACUCGAGAAAUAAAGAAGUCUGCUUUCAAUAUGGCAAAGACACACAAAUCCAAUUCCAUGCUGUUUAUUUGUAACAGUUAGCAUUUCUUUGCAUGCCUAGAUGUUUGUGUGCGUAUAUCAAAAGAAUUGUGAGCUACUGUAAGUUGAUCAUAGAGACGGUUGGUGUCAGUGCUUCUAUGAUCUACUUAGGCUUACGAUGUUUUUGGGAAACACAGCCAUGGACUUACUCCCCUUGAUUACCAUUAUUUGCCUUUUUGACAUUUUGUGUUCUGUGCUUUUUCUUGCCCUGUGUAAAAGCUUCAUUUGACUGGAUUUGAAAGGCUUGACAGUGAGAAAUGUGCACAACAUAAUAACAGAGCACAUUAUCAGUGUUCAAACUGAGGAUGUUUUUUUUUUUCUGUAUGUAACUUUUAAACAGCUAAAAUUAAACUGUAAAAAAAAAAAUGCUGUAUAAUGAUGCAUAUUGGAAGCAGAAGUGUUUUGUUUGGAGACUGGGAUGAGGCCUUUUGUGCUGUAUAUAAAAGAAGGAAUAAUUUGAAUGCUCCUUUUAUAUUUGCUGUAACUAUGUUAAAAAUAUAUUUAGCACUGACUAACAAAUCACAUGAUAUAAAUGAAAUACAGUUUCCACAUCACUUUUUUUUCAUUUACAUACCGCCUUUACAGCAUAGGUGCUAUAAAUGUCCUGUAUGCGGAUUGUUUUUGCCUUGAUUAAGAAUCAAAUCUUAUCAAUUUAUUUGACAAUAAUAUUAAUAAUAAUAAUAGAAUUAGAACAUUUUUAAAUAUAUCAUCAACGUUACAAUUAUACCUGCUACAUUCCCCUGUUGAUGCGACAAACUGAAGACGGUCAAUCAAUACUUUUUUUCUUUCUUCUCAUUGCCACUUACAUUAAAUUAUUUUAAAUCUUCUUAUAGAAACAAUGAUGCUGAGGCAGAUCAGACAGUUGCACAGAAACUGAGAUGAUUAUGGAGUAUAAAAAAGAUAGCUUAUUUAACGGCUUAUGAUAUUGACCAGAGACAGUUAGUUGGAGGAGAAACAGGAGUCAGUUUAUUACACAUGAAACAAAUAAGGGGUUUGAAUUAUGCUAAUGAAGUGCUGACCGGCUUUCAGGGCCAUUUAGGACAAAACAUUAGUGACAGAGUCAGAC
Molecule: long non-coding RNA, 4598 nt
Organism: Cyprinus carpio carpio
Lineage: Eukaryota; Metazoa; Chordata; Actinopteri; Cypriniformes; Cyprinidae
Source: Ensembl